RNAcentral lists this ribosomal RNA (118 nucleotides) under Zonotrichia albicollis (white-throated sparrow). The record is from RNAcentral. Lineage: Eukaryota; Metazoa; Chordata; Aves; Passeriformes; Passerellidae.
CACUUUUGCUAUACAGGGCUGGAAGCACCUGACCUCGUCUAAACUUGGAAGUUAAGCAGACCAGGGUCUGUAGGUAGCUGGAUGGGGGAAAAAAAAUCAUGAAAAUAGGCAAAAGUCC